CGAGCGGCGGAUGGGUGAGUAACACGUGGGGAACCUGCCCCUAAGUCUGGGAUACCAUUUGGAAACAGGUGCUAAUACCGGAUAAUAAAGCAGAUCGCAUGAUCAGCUUUUGAAAGGCGGCGUAAGCUGUCGCUAAGGGAUGGCCCCGCAGUGCAUUAGCUAGUUGGUAAGGUAACGGCUUACCAAGGCGACGAUGCAUAGCCGAGUUGAGAGACUGAUCGGCCACAUUGGGACUGAGACACGGCCCAAACUCCUACGGGAGGCAGCAGUAGGGAAUCUUCCACAAUGGACGCAAGUCUGAUGGAGCAACGCCGCGUGAGUGAAGAAGGUUUUCGGAUCGUAAAGCUCUGUUGUUGGUGAAGAAGGAUAGAGGUAGUAACUGGCCUUUAUUUGACGGUAAUCAACCAGAAAGUCACGGCUAACUACGUGCCAGCAGCCGCGGUAAUACGUAGGUGGCAAGCGUUGUCCGGAUUUAUUGGGCGUAAAGCGAGCGCAGGCGGAAAAAUAAGUCUAAUGUGAAAGCCCUCGGCUUAACCGAGGAACUGCAUCGGAAACUGUUUUUCUUGAGUGCAGAAGAGGAGAGUGGAACUCCAUGUGUAGCGGUGGAAUGCGUAGAUAUAUGGAAGAACACCAGUGGCGAAGGCGGCUCUCUGGUCUGCAACUGACGCUGAGGCUCGAAAGCAUGGGUAGCGAACAGGAUUAGAUACCCUGGUAGUCCAUGCCGUAAACGAUGAGUGCUAAGUGUUGGGAGGUUUCCGCCUCUCAGUGCUGCAGCUAACGCAUUAAGCACUCCGCCUGGGGGAGUACGACCGCAAGGUUGAAACUCAAAGGAAUUGACGGGGGCCCCGCACAAGCGGUGGAGCAUGUGGU
This 870-nucleotide ribosomal RNA is filed under the name uncultured bacterium. RNAcentral's name for it is "bacterial SSU rRNA". It matches the Rfam family "Bacterial small subunit ribosomal RNA", at positions 92 to 945 of the family's 1533-position model. The record is from RNAcentral.